GUCUGACAGCAGCCAGUGCUCCAAGCAGAGGUUUGAUAGAAUCCAAGGUGAUUGUCCCCCAAAAAAUGGUCCAUUCCAGACUAUCGACUGUCCCCAUUCGAAUCUAAAACACAGCCAACAGACUAUGCAUGGACUAGUGAAUACUGGGCCAGUGCUCAAAUCAGAUGGCAUCAGCAGCUGCAAACUCAGAUCUAUCCUUGCCCUUCCUGAGGCUUGGCUUUGAUUACUGGGCCCCCCACCACGAGCCAACACAUGGCCAUGAGCGCAUACCAACUCAGUGCACAACCUCUGAGCAACCACUUGGAAACAAUCAAGAGGUAAAUAGCAUGAAAUAGAGGUGUUUGGAAACGGUUUGGAGAGAUCGUGCAGAUUAGGAGAGUAUUUAGUAAUUGCUCAAAGCCAGAUUAUUCUUGCCUUUGGAACUUUCACAAAGGGCGUUACAGUCGGAGGCGAGCAGGAAUCAUUGCCACAGAAAGUCAUUUGGGAAACUGUAACCAGAGGUCAGAGUCACUUGGGCGAAUGUCAGAUUGUUUUUCUACGUAUAGUGAAAGUCACAGUCCCGGAGGAAACUGUUGGAAUCAUUUGACAGCUGUGUUUGAAGAGCUUCUUUGCACGAGUUUUGAUGGAGGUUGUGACUUCUGCCAUUCUGCUACCUGUUGAGUGGCCUUGGAACUCAAUGACACGACAGGUGCACUUCCAGCUUAAGUACCUGCUCCUCUACAAAGCAGCUGCGGUGAUUGCUGAAAACAUAUGACCAAGCAGAGCUCUCCAACAACAUUUGGAAAUGGUCUAAGACACAAGGUA
This is a long non-coding RNA of Cyprinus carpio (common carp), 804 nucleotides long. RefSeq lists it as uncharacterized. Lineage: Eukaryota; Metazoa; Chordata; Actinopteri; Cypriniformes; Cyprinidae. The record is from RefSeq and is a predicted model, not a curated record.